CUUUCGAAAGCUUUUGCAGCGGGGAAAAGGAGCUUCUUUGCCCAUUCAUUCUAGAUGUCAUUGGGUUGUGAAGAGGCGCUUGGUUGCGUUGAUGGUGUGUUGCCUGAGUUCCUUUUUCCAAACCUCAUGUUACAGAAGCAGCUACUCACGCGACUGUAGUCAACAGAAGCCUUCGAUACCAGCACCAUCUACGCAGUUUGUUCCUCGAUGCACCUGUACGUUCUUCCAUCCUUGCUUCUGUAUUUUCCUCCAAGCCGAGGUGUGUUUUGAAUGCCGCAUCAGUCACAUUGGGUGAAUCGUGCAAUGUCUAAUCUAGCGACCUACUUCUCGUGACGAUUUCAAUGAGGUGAAGUGGUAUGAGGCUGUACAGAGGUAUGAACUUCAGUUUGUGUGUCGGUGCUGUGUAUUGCCAUGCCUUAAAAUUCUCUGUUUACAAUUCACUACGAAACGCUUUGAUCAAUUAUGCAGUUAAAUACAAUGAGCUACUGCAAUAAUCUUUUAGUUACGUGACGGUGGUAGUUACAGUACUAAUUAGGCUCAUUUAUUCAAGGCACUAGUUUGUGUACUACCAAAUCACGUAUUUCUAUUUUUUAAUUGUAUUUUGGCACCAUAAUUUAGAUAGCAGGAUACAAAUCAAGCUAUUAAUGUGAUAUUAUGUUUUGCGCACUAAGGAGUUGGAGCAACUUUGAAACUGCACACACACAUCAUAAGGACAAGAGACAACUAAAGAUAAAUAAAAUGAUCAAUCUUCUAUUCCCAAAUGAAUUGCAGAAAAGACUCGGUGAUGAUGCACAAUUAGGUUAAUCCUCGCAAGGCACUCAGUUUCAAAUGCAAAACUUCUGAGGAUCGUGCCAAGUAAGGUUUCAGUGGAAGCUGAGGAUUCGAAAUACCGAAGACCACUGGAUGUUCCAUGCUAACUUUGGACUCGAUAAUUUCUCUUACUGUUGUGUUUUGAAACAGUGAGGCAAGGGGUUUACUUGUAUGGAGGAUAUGUCACUUCAUGAAAGACGCCUGCAAGCAAGGACUUGUUCGUGACGCCAGACGUCUUUAUGGUAGAAAAGAAUACUCGAUAAAUGCCCCACUUCUUGUGCAUCCGUGUGUGCGGUCAUCGAUGAGGGAUGAGCAUGUGCUGAUACUCUUUCAGGUAACUGUAACGGUUUCGAUCAAUUUCAGAUAUCAACGUGUCUGAUCACAAAUGGUUUGCUAGUAAUAGGACCUGAUUUGGGUGUGUUCUUGCCACUUUGUGAUCGAAACCGUGGGUCUAUGAGCUGAGACUGCCUUCGGCGGUGCCGUGAAGGGCUCCUUCUCACUUCUAUCAAUUCCAUGCAGAAGUCAUUCCGCAAGUAGUUUGAAAACGACUACCGAUUUGAGUAGUUGGUGGUUUCUCAAAUGUUCUCAGCUGUAUCCCCAGCGACAGCAGUCGCAAGUCUGGAAUGCUAAAUCAUCGGUUACUCUCAAGUUUUUCUUGCAGUGGCUUCGAAUUUCCUUUU
Non-coding RNA from Physcomitrium patens, 1490 nucleotides. NCBI's taxonomy places the organism in Eukaryota, Viridiplantae, Streptophyta, Bryopsida, Funariales, Funariaceae. The record is from RefSeq and is a predicted model, not a curated record.